Molecule: ribosomal RNA, 505 nt
Filed under: uncultured Bacteroidales bacterium
Lineage: Bacteria; Pseudomonadati; Bacteroidota; Bacteroidia; Bacteroidales
Description: partial 16S ribosomal RNA
Source: RNAcentral
CACGGAGUUAGCCGAUGCUUUUCUUCGGGUACUCUCACAGACGGACACGUCCGGCUUUUGCUCCCCGACAAAAGAGGUUUACAACCCAUAGGGCAGUACUCCCUCACGCGACUUGGCUGGUUCAGGCUCUCGCCCAUUGACCAAUAUUCCUCACUGCUGCCUCCCGUAGGAGUCUGGUCCGUGUCUCAGUACCAGUGUGGGGGACCUUCCUCUCAGAACCCCUACGCAUCGUUGCCUUGGUGGGCCGUUACCCGCCAACCAGCUAAUGCGCCGCAUGCCCAUCCGCCUCCUAUAUUCUUUCAAAACCAGACGAUGCCGUCCAGCUUCAUACGGGGUAUUAGACGCCGUUUCCGACGAUUAUCCCCCUGAGACGGGCAGGUUGCAUACGUGUUACUCACCCGUGCGCCGGUCGCCGGCAUAAAUGAGCAAGCUCAUCUACCCGCUGCCCCUCGACUUGCAUGUGUUAAGCCUGUCGCUAGCGUUCAUCCUGAGCCAGGAUCAAACU